AACGAACGCUGGCGGCAUGCCUAACACAUGCAAGUCGAACGAGAUCUUCGGGUCUAGUGGCGCACGGGUGCGUAACGCGUGGGAAUCUGCCCUUUGGUUCGGAAUAACAGUUGGAAACGACUGCUAAUACCGGAUGAUGACGAAAGUCCAAAGAUUUAUCGCCAGAGGAUGAGCCCGCGUAGGAUUAGCUAGUUGGUGUGGUAAAGGCGCACCAAGGCGACGAUCCUUAGCUGGUCUGAGAGGAUGAUCAGCCACACUGGGACUGAGACACGGCCCAGACUCCUCCGGGAGGCAGCAGUGGGGAAUAUUGGACAAUGGGCGAAAGCUUGAUCCAGCAAUGCCGCGUGAGUGAUGAAGGCCUUAGGGUUGUAAAGCUCUUUCACCCGGGAUGAUAAUGACAGUACCGGGAGAAUAAGCUCCGGCUAACUCCGUGCCAGCCGCCGCCGUAA
Molecule: ribosomal RNA, 449 nt
Filed under: uncultured bacterium
Lineage: Bacteria
Description: partial 16S ribosomal RNA
Rfam family: Bacterial small subunit ribosomal RNA
Source: RNAcentral